GCGCAGCCUAAACAUCUCGUUACGUGUUCCGUUUUGUCGUGGCUCAAUUAGACGGCAGUGUUAUUUGUGAGGGUAACGUAAGGCAAUUGAAGUCUAAUUUGAAGCAGUAAUGGGUCACAAAGGGAAAAGAUACUCUUCUACGUCUUCCGAGAUGACCAGUAGUGACUCUUCAAGAGAGAACUCGCUCUCUAGAGAUCAAAAGAGAGACAGACAAGCAGAGAAGAGAAAAUCAAGAGAAAGGAGAAAACUCAAGGAAAAGAGAAGAAAGCGACAUAGAUCAAGCAGUUCUAGUGGGUCCUCAUCCUCUUCGUCAUCAUCAUCAUCACAUGAAAGAGAUGAUUCAGCUAAACGACGGCGAAAGAAAAAGACCAAGAAAAGGAAGUACUCAUCAUCAGAUAGCAGCAGUAGUAGCUCAUCAGAUUUAGGUAGCAGUGAUUCGGACAGUUCAUCAAGUGAUUCAAGCCUUGAACGACGAAGGAAGAGAAAGAAGCAGAAAGAGAGCAGAAAAGAUAAGAAACAUAAACAGAAGAACAAGAAAAGGAAAAGGAAAUCUUCCAGUGGAAGUGGUCCUGUUAGAUUAUCCCAUCUUUCCCUUCCCCUGUACUCUCUUAUUCUAUUGCUUCCUCUCUCUAUCUCUAUGUUGGAGUGAUAUACAUUGGUCUCUUCAUGUUAUAUCUGCCUACGUGUGAACUGACUGACUGACCAUGGUGACGGUAAUGACUGCAGUACAUGAAUGAUGAGAAAGAUGUUGCUAGAAGCGUAGUGUCAGGUCAGAAGAUUAAAAUGAAAGUCAGAAAGACAAGCCAGGAUAAAGCACGUGAAAAGAACAGGGAACAAUUGCUCCAGUUUCUGAAUUCAACAAGGAAUUGAGACAAGGCUGAUGACAGUAGAGAUGGAUUAUUGUGUAGUAGGUUUCACGGUACACCAUGUAUCUUUCUUGGACAAGUGUUGGUGCUGAAAAGGACCACCCAAUCUUGAUGUUUCUACAAGUGUGUUCUUGUCAUCCUCAGGAGGUACAUGGUGUACAGUGAAACCUACUACACUAUUCUUCUUCGCCAUGGAAACCUUCAGAAGAUGGAUUAUUGAAUAGCUUUAUACAUCAUGAGAGUGAACAUCCCAAAUCAAAUGUGAAGAAGACGUAUAGAGAGUUUUGACAUUUGUUAUCUUAGAAUUUAUAGAUAAGAUCAGAAAAAAACUUUCCUUUAUUCUGAUUGGCUAAGAAGCACUGGAUGUCAAUUCUUUCAUGAAACACUUCCCUGAUGAAAAAAGUUUCCACUUGAGACAGGUCACCUUUCUGAAAUGCACAUUGCUUUCAAUUGGGAGACAAUUUUGGUGGCCACUGGAGACAGGUUUGAGUGUGUAUAGGAUGCCCGAAAAUCUGAUCAACUUUAUAGAAGAGGUAUUCAAAUAUCCCACAUUGUGUAAAAACUAGACUGAAAAACUGCUCUGACUUGGAUGAUUAUGUGGAAAGUAUACAGACUUAACUUAGUAAUGUGCCUUCUUGAUUGAAUUGUAUCCUGGCCAUGAUUCACAUCCACUAUAUGUGAUUUUAGGGAACAGAUUAUUUCUUUCAAUACCUCAGAUAAGGAAACAUAAAUUUACCAUUUUGUCAUAUACUUGCUGUCCAAAAUAUGAAACACAAGUAACCAACACAUUUUAGCACAUACAGCAAAAUCAAAAUAUUUUUCUGACUUAUAAAAAUUGUAAACCUAAACUUGUUUACUAAAUGAUGUGCAUACAUGAUAAUGUUGAUUUAGAGCUCAUAGAUGAAGUCAAUGGCCCUUCAAAUGUAACAUAGGUAUGGAUUAUGGAAUUUCCUUUUUAUAGUCAGUGUAUGAUAGGAGUUAUUCUAUUCAAUUGAAAUAUUAAAAGACAGGAACAACUUUACGUAUAGAUUGUAUUCUAAUGUAUGCAAAUUCUAUAAUUAAUUGAAAAAGAAAUACUUUUCUAUUAGAAAAAUACCUGUAUCAAAUUGUACUGAAUUUCCUUUUAAUGUUAAAGUUGACCCUCAUUUCUUUAUUAUUCCAAUGCAUUAAAUGGCAAGUGACAAUUCUAAAACCUUGCUCAUUAGUUUUAAUGAUAUGAGAAUAAUUUCAUAGUUCCAGAUACAGUUGUAUCUCAUUUAAAAAGUAAGGAAUUCAAGCAGUUGAUCUAUCACCCUGAAAUAAUUUGAUUCAAGUUUGUUAUGCUUGAAAAAUUGAUGUAUUAGAUUUCUGGGAAGAGCUUUGAUGAUUCCCAACAUUCUGUCAAUCUCAUUUUCUACAGCUGAAGACCUCAUCUGAAGCAGAAAGAGAAAUUAGAAAACUACCAAUAAAAAACAUCACAACAAUGCAAGUUUUAUGCAUUUUCACCUUUUGUUAGCAGAGUAUUUUGCUUUUGAAAUUAGAAGGCAUUGGAGUCCUUUGAUGUCAUACUGUGUGAGCAUGGUUGAGAUUACAUGUGUUUGUACAGUGUACGAGAAAAAAAAAAGAUACAUUUUAGUAAUUGGAUUUUGCUCACUAUUAUUACUUGGAAAUAUCCUGGAAGGUAUCCCCUGCUUUGGAAAAAAAAAAUGAAACCUUCAGCUCCAGAUUAUUUUUUUGUGUGAUUUUUUAUUUCCCACUUUAAUAUAUUGCACAACUUUCCUUCUGUAAAUGCAUUCAAAUUAUGUGUUCAAAACGUUUGCCUGGCAUUUUGAUUUGUCAAAUUCAUUUUUCGCUUCAGAUGGGAUCUUUAAUGAUAAAUUCCUUUAAAAGUGUAGGCUAAGCAUCAUUGUUUUAAAGUGUAAGACAAGAAUAUGAUAAUGAAUUGGAAAUAAAAUUGGUAAAGUUUGAUCAAUUUA
This is an RNA transcript of Lytechinus pictus (painted urchin), 2821 nucleotides long. It is a transcript of the gene named protein FAM133-like, with no coding region annotated. The record is from RefSeq and is a predicted model, not a curated record. Lineage: Eukaryota; Metazoa; Echinodermata; Echinoidea; Temnopleuroida; Toxopneustidae. The transcript is spliced from 6 exons.